Molecule: long non-coding RNA, 995 nt
Organism: Rattus norvegicus (Norway rat)
Lineage: Eukaryota; Metazoa; Chordata; Mammalia; Rodentia; Muridae
Source: RefSeq, a predicted model, not a curated record
CUGGUUCCUCGGCCAUACUGCGCAGGCGCAGAGCCGCUAGUGGCAUUAGUAUCAGGACUCUAGAUGGGUACACGAAUGUGGGAGCUGGAAGUAAGUCUCCGUGAAACACAAGGCAGUCGGAGCCUAUAGAAGGUCUCACUUAACUGUGAAGAGAGUGGAAGGCUGUAAAGACCUGAGAGAAAAGCAAUCAGAAGGAUCAGAAGCAUCUAGCACACGCAGCUUGUGGCACCCUUGAAGUAGGAUUGGAAGAACACAGGGUGAGACCAAUAAGGCCCAGGGACCCGAUUCUGCAGCACGUUUCUGGGCCACAAUAAGCAAGAAGCAUUGAUCCCGACGUCAGAGAAGAGCUGACCUUCGAAGAACCCUCAGGAAGUGAAGAGAGCCUGUGUUACAGUCGGUGAAACAAUAACAUGUACCAAGUCUUCAUGUACAUACUCCAGAACCUCUGGGUUUGAGGGACACUAAAUCGCCAGUCACUAAAAGAAAACACAAACCAUUGCAAACUUCGACUACCUGAAUAACCCAAGAAACUAAGCUUUCAUUUUCCUCAUCUGAUUAGCCAGAGAAUGUAAUACAUUAUUUCAUCAUUUCAAAAUUUCAAAUUCAUAUUUCUUCUACCUCUCCGUGGUAGGAAAUGUAGUCACGUGUGCCUGCAAUUUUGUAACAGGAUUUCCUCAAGAAUAAAAAAAAAUAAUCAGUCUUGGCUUGAUGAGAGGCAGGUGGGAUGAGCGUUAAAGCCCAAAUGCAGGAUCUGAAAUACCUGCAGGAUUCUGUAAUAAAAAGAGCAGGGGGGUUAGAGCAGAGGAAAGCUGAAUGUGAACCUUGGUGCCUUGGUCCACAUGGGUCAGAGAAGUUGCUGCAGACACCGUGCAGCCUACACUAAGUUGGAUCAAGUACCUUUGAUGCCAGGAGUAAAUGUGGGUGAGGAUUCGGCCACAGAGCAUGGAAGCAUUGGCCACUGGGACUGAGAAGGAUGAUCGUUUUAUUAAAGAAAA